This is a long non-coding RNA of Passer domesticus (house sparrow), 2755 nucleotides long. RefSeq lists it as uncharacterized. The transcript is spliced from 6 exons. The record is from RefSeq and is a predicted model, not a curated record. Lineage: Eukaryota; Metazoa; Chordata; Aves; Passeriformes; Passeridae.
GCCGCGGCCAUGGCGGCGGGGAGGGGGCGGAUCAGGGAAUCACAGUCACAGGAUCGGUUCCACUAAUUACAAUCCCUAGUUUAGAAAGAGUGGAAGCAGUUCUUGGUUAGGUGCUACAGCUGCAGAGCUCUUCACUUAAGGGAGGAAGAUCUGGCUCUGAAGAGCAGCAUGUGAUGGCCUCAAGUCAGCUUCCUAAGCCCACCUGCAAUCUGGAGAGCUGAAAAUAUGGAAUUGUUGCACUGACCAUGUAGGAAUGCCUGGGGAAAAGAGAAGAGUUCAGCUGGAUCCUGGGAAGGAGCACAAUACAGGACCAGUCUUACAGGAAGAAAAUACAUGAGGACCACAUCAUGGCCAAGAUCCUAAGAAGUAGAUGCAGCAGGAUCGUCUACGAGCCAGGAAAGCCGACCGUUGGAUAACUGCAGACAGCAGGAUUCAGGCUGAAGUCUUGAAGGGGGAAAAAUGAAAUUGCAAAGGUUCUCCCAGCCCAUUACCAUGGGAGACAAGACACAAGGGACAAAUCAUGGAUGGGCUGGAAAUCAACAACAAGACCCUACAGACUGCAGGAAGUUCAAAUCUCCCUUCAGAGGAGUUGAGCAAUUGCAGAGUGCUCCAUUUAGCUGGAUACAAAACCAGCAGGAAGAACACAGAUUGGAAGUUGGCUGCCACAGUGAAAUUGCCUUAUGUUGCACUUAUCACACUGUUGACACUAUAUAACUGAUAACAUUUUAUGAUUUUUUAUGAACAAGCCAGGAGGUGACCUCCAGCUGCAGACUCAUGAAGCCGCAAUAAUCACCCAGACAUCUGGAUAUUGAUCUCUAGGAGAAAGCAGAAUCUGUGGACCUGACCCAAAAAGAAGUAAAGGGACAGUUUAUUUUUUGGGAGGCAUGACUUCUUGGGGAGAAAAGUCAGGGAACUUUCAUCAUGAUGGUCAUGGAAAAAUCAGUUGUGAGGAGGCAUCUCAGAAGUGGGGCAGGGGAGGUGGUUGAAGACCUCUAAUACAUAAAGAUCAAAGAAGGGAAUUGAAGGUGAUGUUGCUGCAUUAGGACAAAGAAAACCCCAUAUGUAAGGAGUGAAUACAUGGAGACAAUGCAAUAAAGGCUGUGAAAAUUCAGCUAAACGGUGAGUAAGGGCUAACGUAGAAUCACAGAAUGGUUUAGUUGAAAAGGACUUUAAAGACCAUCUUCUUCCAUCCCCCUGUCAGGUAGAGGGACACCUUCCACUAUCCCAGGCUGAUCCAAGCCCCAUCCAGUGUGGUCUGGAACACUCCCAGGGAUCCAGAGGCAGCCACAGCUUUUCUGGGCAACCUGUGCCGGGGCCUCACCAACCUCACAGGUUGAACAUCCCCAACUCUCUCAGCCUGUACAGGCACUGCAGCAGAAGACUGGGGUGCAUCUUUCUGCUUCUUGUCUUGGAGGUCCCAGUGAAGAGCUCACCAGUACAGUCUGCUGGGACCAGUCCUCUCUCCCCCGGGCUUCAGCACCCUCCAGGAAGCCAAAGGUCAAUGUGGCAGACCUCCACCAAAGAAUGAGUUAGAGACUCAACCAAAACUGAAAGGUCUGAAGAAAAACUUAUCCCAUCAACUGAAUAUCCCAGACAUUUACUUGAAAGUUCAGAGACUUCUCAUUUGUUUUAUAUUUCCUGUCACUUCUAUCAAUGUGGCUGGAAGUCAAACUACAUUGGGUAGUUUGUAGCCCUUGCUUUCCUCAAGAGCCAUCUGAUUGUCCUGAAGACACACCACAUGAUUUCCCAAGAGGGGGAAGAGGAGCCAUGGGUUUAGCCCUGUACCUGCUGUGCAUUCCUGCCCAUCCAAAUCCACUUUGUAACCAAAUCUGCCUGGGAUGAUGACCAGGCUUGGCAUCUCCUGGACCACAAGCCAGUGUCUCCACUAGGCAGACCUGUUUGUUUCCUGGGGUGUCUAGUUUGAUUCAUAUUGACAGGGCAGGUACCCGCUCUGCACUCCCCAUGGGUGUAGGGAAGCUGGGCUUCCAGACGAUUAUUUAUAGGGCACAGCAUUAUUUAUGUUCCCCUAUUCUUGCUAUCUUGCUGUCACACCCUGAACUGCAUUUCAAAAUCACACUUUAGUAGUAGAUCUGUGAUUUCAUUUAAUUUCAUUAAAUUAAAUGAAACUUUCUGGAAUGAAGUAAAAUGAAAAGAAAAGAAAUUCUAUAGAAUUAAAUGAAAUUAAAUUUUAAAAUUUAAUGAAAUGAAAUUUAGUGAAAUGAAAUUCUGUGAAAUUUUAUGGAGUGAAAUGAGAUUCUAAAAAUGAGAUGAAAUUAAAUUAAAUUUCAUGGAAUGAAAUUAAAUGAAACGAAAUGCUGCAACUGGCAGAUUUUUUAUUUCUUUCAAAAUAUUUAGAACACUCAAUAGCUGAUUUGCUGAUAUUAACAUCUGCAAUGCUACUUCUCUGAAAAAUUUAAUUCAUCUUAUUCCACACAGAAUUAGAUGUCUCUGAAAAUAUUUAUGACCUGAUGAACUCUUUUCUUAACCACUACUCACUCUCAAGGAUCAUGAUUCACAGCUUGCAUUAUGUUGGCAAUUCCAGUGGACCUGCAGACUGCUUGUAGUUGUGCAUUUGUGGUUGCAGAGAGUGUUUGGUAAGUCAAAUCCUUGUAAAUGUCUGUGGCAUUUGCUCAUAUAACUAAAUGCAUUAAUGGACAUUACAUUGGGAGAUCAGCUGUGGUAUUGCUAAAACAAAAAAAUUAAGUAUCAAACAACAAAAAAAUUAAGUACCAAGUAAAGCUGUCCUUUCUCUUCU